GAUGAACGCUGGCGGCGUGCCUAAUACAUGCAAGUCGAGCGAACGGACGAGAAGCUUGCUUCUCUGAUGUUAGCGGCGGACGGGUGAGUAACACGUGGAUAACCUACCUAUAAGACUGGGAUAACUUCGGGAAACCGGAGCUAAUACCGGAUAAUAUUUUGAACCGCAUGGUUCAAAAGUGAAAGACGGUCUUGCUGUCACUUAUAGAUGGAUCCGCGCUGCAUUAGCUAGUUGGUAAGGUAACGUCUUACCAAGGCAACGAUGCAUAGCCGACCUGAGAGGGUGAUCGGCCACACUGGAACUGAGACACGGUCCAGACUCCUACGGGAGGCAGCAGUAGGGAAUCUUCCGCAAAGGGCGAAAGCCUGACGGAGCAACGCCGCGUGAGUGAUGAAGGUCUUCGGAUCGUAAAACUCUGUUAUUAGGGAAGAACAUAUGUGUAAGUAACUGUGCACAUCUUGACGGUACCUAAUCAGAAAGCCACGGCUAACUACGUG
RNAcentral lists this ribosomal RNA (497 nucleotides) under uncultured bacterium. RNAcentral's name for it is "partial 16S ribosomal RNA". It matches the Rfam family "Bacterial small subunit ribosomal RNA", at positions 28 to 507 of the family's 1533-position model. The record is from RNAcentral.